AACGAACGCUGGCGGCAUGCCUAACACAUGCAAGUCGAACGAGACCUUCGGGUCUAGUGGCGCACGGGUGCGUAACGCGUGGGAACCUGCCCUUAGGUUCGGAAUAACUCCCCGAAAGGGGUGCUAAUACCGGAUAAUGUCUUCGGACCAAAGAUUUAUCGCCUUUGGAUGGGCCCGCGUUGGAUUAGCUAGUUGGUAGGGUAAAAGCCUACCAAGGCGACGAUCCAUAGCUGGUCUGAGAGGAUGGGCAGCCACACUGAGACUGAGACACGGCCCAGACUCCUACGGGAGGCAGCAGUGGGGGAUAUUGGACAAUGGGCGAAAGGAUGAUGCAGCAAGGCCGCGUGAGUGAUGAAGGCCUUAGGGUUGUAAAGCUCUUUUACCCGGGAUGAUAAUGACAGUACCGAGAGAAUAAGCUCCGGCUAACUCCGUG
Molecule: ribosomal RNA, 433 nt
Filed under: uncultured bacterium
Lineage: Bacteria
Description: partial 16S ribosomal RNA
Rfam family: Bacterial small subunit ribosomal RNA
Source: RNAcentral